AGAGUUUGAUCCUGGCUCAGGAUGAACGCUAGCUACAGGCUUAACACAUGCAAGUCGAGGGGAAACGACAUCGAAAGCUUGCUUUUGAUGGGCGUCGACCGGCGCACGGGUGAGUAACGCGUAUCCAACCUUCCGUACACUCAGGGAUAGCCUUUCGAAAGAAAGAUUAAUACCUGAUGGUAUGAUGAGAUUGCAUGAUAGCAUCAUUAAAGAUUUAUCGGUGUACGAUGGGGAUGCGUUCCAUUAGGGUAGUAGGCGGGGUAAUGGCCACCUAGCCGACGAUGGAUAGGGGUUCUGAGAGGAAGGUCCCCCACAUUGGAACUGAGACACGGUCCAAACGUCCUACGGGAGGCA
RNAcentral lists this ribosomal RNA (354 nucleotides) under uncultured bacterium. Its description in RNAcentral is "bacterial SSU rRNA". It matches the Rfam family "Bacterial small subunit ribosomal RNA", at positions 8 to 350 of the family's 1533-position model. The record is from RNAcentral.